AGGGAUGUCACAAUUUCCUGAGACGGAGGCAUCUCUGCACCACAUAGGAGGCUGCGGUACUAUGCAGCUUGAACAGCACGACAAAGCAUCUGAUCUGCCUGCUUUGACAAGUGUUGCUGGGCCUGCAGAAAGAGUAAGCAGACUACUGUGUUGCUGAUCAGUGCUGAUCUCCACGUCCGAGCUGGUCCCACAACAUCCAGGCACCACUGUGCUUUGCUUCAUUGACAAGGUGUGGCUGGGCCUGCAGAAAAGCUGUAAGCAGACUGCAGUGUUGCUGAUCAGUGCUGAUCUCCACGUCCGAGCUGGUCCCACAACAUCCAGGCACCACUG
Non-coding RNA from Dermacentor albipictus, 330 nucleotides. NCBI's taxonomy places the organism in Eukaryota, Metazoa, Arthropoda, Arachnida, Ixodida, Ixodidae. The record is from RefSeq and is a predicted model, not a curated record.